RNAcentral lists this transfer RNA (90 nucleotides) under Brenneria alni. RNAcentral's name for it is "tRNA-Ser". It matches the Rfam family "tRNA". From Rfam's summary of the family: Transfer RNA (tRNA) molecules are approximately 80 nucleotides in length. Their secondary structure includes four short double-helical elements and three loops (D, anti-codon, and T loops). Further hydrogen bonds mediate the characteristic L-shaped molecular structure. tRNAs have two regions of fundamental functional importance: the anti-codon, which is responsible for specific mRNA codon recognition, and the 3' end, to which the tRNAs corresponding amino acid is attached (by aminoacyl-tRNA synthetases). tRNAs cope with the degeneracy of the genetic code in two manners: having more than one tRNA (with a specific anti-codon) for a particular amino acid; and 'wobble' base-pairing, i.e. permitting non-standard base-pairing at the 3rd anti-codon position. The record is from RNAcentral. Lineage: Bacteria; Pseudomonadati; Pseudomonadota; Gammaproteobacteria; Enterobacterales; Pectobacteriaceae. RNAcentral also lists the same sequence under 1 other name.
GGAGAGGUGCCGGAGCGGCUGAACGGGACAGUCUCGAAAACUGUUGAAGGGGUAACCCUUCCGAGGGUUCAAAUCCCUCUCUCUCCGCCA